CUCACUCACUCACUCACUCACUCACUCACUCACUCACUCACUCACUCACUCACACACACUCAAAAUUGCAUGACCCAGGGGUUAAUGUCUCCCCACCCAGCACCCUAACAAACCUCCAAGGAGCUCUCUCUCUCUCUCUCUCUCUCUCUCUCUCUCUCUCUCUCUCUCUCUCACACACACACACACACACACACAAUUGUGCAUAAAAGUCAAGCCCUCUCGUUGUUUGCCAUCAUCAAGGUUUCAAUCCACAUAUUCACAUGGCUCAAGAACCAAUAUCUACCCCUCCCCCCAGCUCAUACAUAUUGCAGCUCACGUAACACUCACACUUAAACUCCAGUGUAGUCCAAGAGAUGACCCCACCAAUAACCACGAAUGCCCACAUCCCUACAGCAGCUUCUCCCUGCCUAUCUCCUACCAGAGCAGGCAUGUCUCUACUCUCCUGGUCUACUGGAAACAGCAAGAAGAGCGCAUCUCUAAAGGCAGGGAGCCAAAAGUUCUGAGCUGAUUAAGACCACUUCCCUCGCUGAGCCCCGUUUCCCUGUCUGGACAGUGAUUGAAGAUGCAUUCCAUCACAGAAGUCAUGGUGGCAGGAGUUUGAGGCAGCUUGCCACAUUUCAGCCAAAGCCAGGAAGUGGAGAGAGAUGAACACCGGUGUCCUUUGUUCUUUGUAUCAGUCUAGGACUCCACCCCAUCUGCCCUUGUCAGAACAAAGUAUGUAUGGAACAUUGUACGAAUUCCCAGCAUCCAACAAAGCAAAUAUACAAUGGAUGGAAUCCUGAGAGAAAUAACCCAACCUGUAAUGAAGCAGAAGAGAAGCUAAGGAGAAGGGAAACUGAAUCCAUGGACGGACAUAGGUGAUGGAAUUUGUAGAGACACAGGAAGUGGCCAUUCAGCUGCAUCUGUGCAUGUUCCCAGUACUAUAGGAGAGACGGGCCAUGCCGAGUAAAACCGUGAGAAUCGUUUUACUGCAGAUGCAGAAGUUGAACUUUUAGAGAUGACGAAGAGGAUGCUCUGUUUACUUUUUCGUUUUUUAACUUUUCUCCUUUGUGUUUCAUUUGAUAAUUUCUGUUGCUUGGUCCUUAGUCACAAACCUCCUGCAGUGUUGUAUCUUCUGAUCUAUGUGUUUAUCCCUUGUAGCAAACAUUUUCCUUCAGAAAUAUUCAUUUAAAAAGAUAUUUAAUAAAUGUACAUGUCUGAGUCUAUGUAAGCAUAUGCCUUAUUUUCACAGGUACCUUCAGAAGCCACAAAAGGUCAUCUGAUCCUCUGGAGCUGGAGUUACAGAAGGUUAUGAGCAACUGGGCAUGCCAGAAUUUAAACCUGUGUCCUCUGGACGAGCACCAAACCCUGCUGAGUUCUUACUCCAGUCCUAAAACAAAACAAAACAAAAUAUUGUUAUGGUUUGGCCACGAAAUGUCUCCCAAGUGUUGAGCACACCCUAGCUGGUAGCACUAUUUUGAGAGGACCCUGGCUGGAGGAAGAUGGUUUGAAGAUUAUGUCAUUUCCUAGUCCCUUCCUUGUUUUUGUCUUCCUUCCUUCCCCCUCUUCUUCUACUAACUGCCAUCAUCAUCAUCAUAUUCUGUAGCAUUACAGGUCCAGAAUCAACAGAGACAAGAGCUAUAACUAAGAUCUCUGAAGUUCUGAGCAAAACUUAACCAUUCUUCCUUUACCCUGUGUUGGUGUCACAGUUUUACAGUUACUUCUGUAACUUGCAAUUCUAUACAAUGUGUCCAUCUCUAUCCCGUAAAAAUAUCUUGCCAAAGACCAUGAUGGGGAAACCCACAGAAUCAACUGGCCAGAGCUUGUGAGAGAUCACUGGUUCAGGUCUGACAAUGGGGAACCUGCAUAAGACUGAACUAGACUCCCUUAAUAUAGGUGACAAUGGUGUGACUUGGACAAUAUAUGAGGCCACUGGCAGUGGGUCCAAGAUCUAACUCUAAUGUACAAACUGACUUA
This is a non-coding RNA of Cricetulus griseus (Chinese hamster), 1956 nucleotides long. The record is from RefSeq and is a predicted model, not a curated record. Lineage: Eukaryota; Metazoa; Chordata; Mammalia; Rodentia; Cricetidae.